RNAcentral lists this ribosomal RNA (478 nucleotides) under uncultured bacterium. RNAcentral describes it as "bacterial SSU rRNA". It matches the Rfam family "Bacterial small subunit ribosomal RNA", at positions 24 to 518 of the family's 1533-position model. The record is from RNAcentral.
UCAGGAUGAACGCUGGCGGCGUGCCUAACACAUGCAAGUCGAACGGUUAACCCACCUCCGGGUGGUCGAUAAAGUGGCGAACGGGUGAGUAACACGUGACCAACCUGCCCCGCGCUCCGGGACAGCCUCGCGAAAGCGGGAUUAAUACCGGAUGCGCCGGCCGGGCCGCAUGGCCCGGCCGGGAAAGCCCAGGCGGCGCGGGAUGGGGUCGCGGCCCAUCAGGUAGUAGGUCGGGUGGAGGCCGACCUAGCCGACGACGGGUAGCCGGGUUGAGAGACCGACGGCCACAUUGGACUGAGAUACGGCCCAGACUCCUACGGGAGGCAGCAGUGGGGAAUAUUGCGCAAUGGGGGCAACCCUGAACCGCAGCAACGCCGCGUGCGGGAAGACGGCCCUCGGGUUGUAAACCGCUUUCAGCAGGGAAGACAUCGACGGUACCUGCAGAAGAAGCCCCGGCUAACUACGUGCCAGCAGCUGC